Molecule: ribosomal RNA, 431 nt
Filed under: uncultured bacterium
Lineage: Bacteria
Description: partial 16S ribosomal RNA
Rfam family: Bacterial small subunit ribosomal RNA
Source: RNAcentral
AGCGAACGCUGGCGGCAGGCCUAACACAUGCAAGUCGAACGAACUCUUCGGAGUUAGUGGCGGACGGGUGAGUAACACGUGGGAACGUGCCUUUUGGUUCGGAAUAACUCAGGGAAACUUGUGCUAAUACCGAAUGUGCCCUUCGGGGGAAAGAUUUAUCGCCAUUAGAGCGGCCCGCGUCUGAUUAGCUAGUUGGUGAGGUAACGGCUCACCAAGGCGACGAUCAGUAGCUGGUCUGAGAGGAUGACCAGCCACACUGGGACUGAGACACGGCCCAGACUCCUACGGGAGGCAGCAGUGGGGAAUCUUGCGCAAUGGGCGAAAGCCUGACGCAGCCAUGCCGCGUGAAUGAUGAAGGUCUUAGGAUUGUAAAAUUCUUUCACCGGGGACGAUACUGACGGUACCCGGAGAAGAAGCCCCGGCUAACUUCG